Molecule: non-coding RNA, 1411 nt
Organism: Manis javanica (Malayan pangolin)
Lineage: Eukaryota; Metazoa; Chordata; Mammalia; Pholidota; Manidae
Source: RefSeq, a predicted model, not a curated record
AAGAAGGGGUGCAAAAGAAACUAUGUGAAGAAGACCAGCAUCCUUAGCGGAAUUUUCAAGAAACUCCUUACAUAGUAAAAAAAUUAAGGGGGACGGGGGGAGGAGUAUCAAAAAAGUGUUCUGAGAUAAAGUGAAAUACAAAUAUAGAGGAAUAAAAAUAGACCCAAAGAGAACAGGACAGUCCUAAGGACGGCUGCCGUGGAGGCCAGACUACUGGGGAAAUGCUAACGGGGGGCGGCGGGCCCCAAAAGGAGGUAAGAAGGGCGAGCAAAGGGCGCCCCGUGAGCCCGUGGCCCCGGCCGUACGUGGCUGCGGCUCGGGCCGCGGUAACAGAGGGCCGUGUUCGGAAGCCCGCGGCCCGACCUCGGGCGCCGGGCGGCGGGGCGCAGGGGCCGCGGGGGCUCAGCGCGGAGGCCCGGCCUGGCCCUGCUCCUGCACCGGCCGCGACGCCUUGUCGGGCUCCGCGCCGCCCGCGCCCGGGAAGCGCGGCCCGAGGCCCGCGAACGCGUCGCAGCACGGCGGGCUCUCCUCCUGCACCGGGCGGCCCACCGGCUCCCCCGCGCCGCCGCCCGGCCCCGCCGCGCCCUCCUGCGAGUUCUGGCUGACGUACACCACGAUGAUGUCGCCCUUGAAAUUCAUCACCUGCCCGCUGGAGAUGAACGUGGAGUUGCUGUUCCCCGUCACGGUUCCUGCAAGGGGAGGGGAAGAGAGAGGCGCAGGCGAACAGAAAGGUCUUACAGGGCUAUGAAGCCAACAUGACAAGGCAAUGCUCUGGGAUGGCGAAUCAACAGGUCACCACAUCAGCAAGCUGCAAGGCCAGCAACUGAAGAUUCUCCAACACUCGGUGACCAGAAGGAAUCAACAUCAGCAGCACUGAUUAAGGGGAGCGCUGCAGGCUUCAGAGUCCUGUCGCAUGUCGAUGCAGUCUUAUCAUCUGAACCCAGGUCUCAGCUGCUCUGGCUCCUCCUCUGGGAGGCCCUGGCUGACCCCAAGUUCGGAUGAGUCCCUGUCACUGCUCAUCUGGAGCUCUGCACCUUUGCUUUCACUUCUAAGCCUCUCUGUGGGCCUAACACCUGCCUUGCCCACGGAAGCGCUUCCUCCGCAAGGACACUCACUGUGGUUGUGCUGCUCAGUAUUGAGUCCCCAGUGCCUGGUGGCCAAGCAAGUGUGUUGCAUGAAGGGAUGAAGAGAAAGCUAAGAAUCACAAGCUCCAGCUCAGUCUAGGCAAGCCCGUUGUUCUUCUCACUGAUAGGAUGUGGCAGUAAGAGCAUUACAGAGACAAAAACUAAGAAGCAAAGCAUCAGAAGUCUGUUUAUCUCAUGUAAACACGACUAUCUGAACAUGCAUUAUUCAAUCCCUGGCUCCCAUGUUGUCAGGGAAGUGAAGUUGCAUUAAAUAACCAUAUCAAUAA